UCAAUAAGCGGAGGAAAAGAAACCAACAGGGAUUGCCCUAGUAACGGCGAGUGAAGCGGCAACAGCUCAAAUUUGAAAUCUGGCGCUUUCAGCGUCCGAGUUGUAAUUUGCAGAGGGCGCUUUGGUGUUGGCAGCGGUCCAAGUUCCUUGGAACAGGACGUCACAGAGGGUGAGAAUCCCGUACGUGGUCGCUAGCCUUCGCCGUGUAAAGCCCCUUCGACGAGUCGAGUUGUUUGGGAAUGCAGCUCUAAAUGGGAGGUAAAUUUCUUCUAAAGCUAAAUACUGGCCAGAGACCGAUAGCGCACAAGUAGAGUGAUCGAAAGAUGAAAAGCACUUUGGAAAGAGAGUCAAAUAGCACGUGAAAUUGUUGAAAGGGAAGCGCUUGCAGCCAGACUUGCCUGUAGUUGCUUAUCCGGACUUUUGUCCGGUGCACUCUUCUGCGGGCAGGCCAGCAUCAGUUUGGGCGGUUGGAUAAAGGUCUCUGUCAUGUACCUCUCUUCGGGGAGAACUUAUAGGGGAGACGACAUGCAACCAGCCUGGACUGAGGUCCGCGCAUCUGCUAGGAUGCUGGCGUAAUGGCUGUAAGCGGCCCGUCUUGAAACACGGACCAAGGAGUCUAACAUCUAUGCGAGUGUUUGGGUGUCAAGCCCAGACGCGUAAUGAAAGUGAACGGAGGUGGGAACCCUUUGGGUGCACCAUCGACCGAUCCUGAUGUCUUCGGAUGGAUUUGAGUAAGAGCAUGGCUGUUGGGACCCGAAAGAUGGUGAACUAUGCUUGAAUAGGGUGAAGCCAGAGGAAACUCUGGUGGAGGCUCGCAGCGGUUCUGACGUGCAAAUCGAUCGUCAAAUUUGGGCAUAGGGGCGAAAGACUAAUCGAACUAUCUAGUAGCUGGUCCUG
This 897-nucleotide ribosomal RNA is filed under the name Paraphoma sp. Its description in RNAcentral is "partial large subunit ribosomal RNA". It matches the Rfam family "Eukaryotic large subunit ribosomal RNA", at positions 43 to 959 of the family's 3401-position model. The record is from RNAcentral. Lineage: Eukaryota; Fungi; Ascomycota; Dothideomycetes; Pleosporales; Phaeosphaeriaceae.